UACGAAGGGGGCUAGCGUUGCUCGGAAUCACUGGGCGUAAAGCGCACGUAGGCGGAUUUCUAAGUCAGGGGUGAAAUCCUGGAGCUCAACUCCAGAACUGCCUUUGAUACUGGGGAUCUUGAGUCCGGGAGAGGUGAGUGGAACUGCGAGUGUAGAGGUGAAAUUCGUAGAUAUUCGCAAGAACACCAGUGGCGAAGGCGGCUCACUGGCCCGGUACUGACGCUGAGGUGCGAAAGCGUGGGGAGCAAACAGG
Molecule: ribosomal RNA, 253 nt
Filed under: uncultured bacterium
Lineage: Bacteria
Description: partial 16S ribosomal RNA
Rfam family: Bacterial small subunit ribosomal RNA
Source: RNAcentral